AUAACCGCGGCAUGGAGCUGCGGGCAAGCGGAAGAGGAGCCUGAUAGGAAAAACCGUCAGGCAAUCCAAAGCCGUGAUGCGGACCGAAUAAAAGUAGGGAAGUAUGUGAGCCAACUGUCAAGAAAAGCCGCUAUUGUGUAUACAGCACCCGUACCAUAAACCGACACAGGUGGAUGAGGAGAGAAUCCUAAGGCCGACGGAAGAAGCAUUGUCAAGGAACUCGGCAAAAUGACCCCGUAACUUCGGGAGAAGGGGUGCCUCGCAAGAGGCCGCAGAGAAUUGGCCCAAGCAACUGUUUAGCAAAAACACAGGUCUAUGCAAAACCGUAAGGUGAGGUAUAUGGGCUGACGCCUGCCCGGUGCUGGAAGGUUAAGAGGAGAGGUUAGAGCAAUCGAAGCUUUGAAUUUAAGCCCCAGUAAACGGCGGCCGUAACUAUAACGGUCCUAAGGUAGCGAAAUUCCUUGUCGGGUAAGUUCCGACCCGCACGAAAGGCGUAAUGAUUUGGGCGCUGUCUCGACAAUGCAUCCGGUGAAAUUGAAGUACCAGUGAAGAUGCUGGUUACCCGCGCCAGGACGGAAAGACCCCAUGGAGCUUUACUCCAGCUUGAUACUGGGAUUCGGUACUGCAUGUACAGGAUAGGUGGGAGGCUAUGAGCCGGUGACGCCAGUUGCCGGGGAGCCGCUGUUGGGAUACCACCCUUGCGGUAUUGGAUUUCUAACACGCCGCCGUGAACCGGCGGGUGGACAAUGUCAGGCGGGGAGUUUGACUGGGGCGGUCGCCUCCGAAAGGGUAUCGGAGGCGCCCAAAGGUUCCCUCAGAAUGGUUGGAAACCAUUCGCAGAGUGCAAAGGCAGAAGGGAGCUUGACUGUGACACCGACGGGUGGAACAGGUACGAAAGUAGGGCUUAGUGAUCCGGUGGUAUUAAGUGGGAAUGCCAUCGCUCAACGGAUAAAAGCUACCCUGGGAUAACAGGCUUAUCACUCCCAAGAGUUCACAUCGACGGAGUGGUUUGGCACCUCGAUGUCGGCUCAUCGCAUCCUGGGGUUGUAGUAGGUCCCAAGGGUUGGGCUGUUCGCCCAUUAAAGCGGUACGCGAGCUGGGUUCAGAACGUCGUGAGACAGUUCGGUCCCUAUCCGGCGUGGGCGCAGGAUAUUUGAGAGGAGCUGUCCUUAGUACGAGAGGACCGGGAUGGACCGACCGCUGGUGCACCGGCUGUUCCGCCAGGAGCAUAGCCGGGUAGCCAAGUCGGGCAGGGAUAAACGCUGAAGGCAUCUAAGCGUGAAGCCCCCCUCAAGAUGAGAUAUCCCAUGCGAAAGCAAUAAGACCCCUUGAAGACGACGAGGUAGAUAGGUCAGAGGUGGAAGCACAGCAAUGUGCGGAGCUGACUGAUACUAAUAGGUCGAAGGCUUAUAC
Molecule: ribosomal RNA, 1413 nt
Filed under: metagenome
Description: bacterial LSU rRNA
Rfam family: Bacterial large subunit ribosomal RNA
Source: RNAcentral